UAUGUGAUCGUCUCUCGCAUAUCAAUAAGCGGAGGAAAAGAAACUAACAAGGAUUCCCCUAGUAACGGCGAGUGAAGCGGGAAGAGCUCAAAUUUGAAAUCUUAAAGGGUUUCCCUUUACGAAUUGUAGUUUAAAGAAGUGUUUUCUGUUGAGGUUUUGGUAAAAGUUCUUUGGAAUAGGACAUCAUAGAGGGUGAGAAUCCCGUAUUUGACCUUUACUUUCAACUUUGUGAUACACUUUCAAAGAGUCGGAUUGUUUGGGAAUGCAGUCCAAAAUGGGUGGUAAAUUUCAUCUAAAGCUAAAUAUUGGCGAGAGACCGAUAGCGAACAAGUACCGUGAGGGAAAGAUGAAAAGAACUAUUGAAAAGAGAGUUAAACAGUACUGUGAAAUUGUCAAAAGGGAAGCGUUUGACACCAGUGUUGUUUUUCUGAAAAUCAAUUAAAGAACUGUUUAUGCUAAGUUGUUUAGACUUUAUCAGCUAUCUGUUUAGUUUUGAGCUUUUCUUUAAUGCACUUUUCAGUUAACAAGUCAACAUCAAUUUCUUUUGCUGUAAAAAAGCUUGAGGAAGGUGGCUUGAGAUUCGUCUUAAGUGUUUAUAGCCUCUUGCCUAUGCAGUCGGAGAGAUUGAGGUCUGCAGCGUAGAUCCUUCGGGGCUAAAUGCAUUUGUGCUAAGUUAUAGCAUUUUAUAGACAACUUGUUGACUAUGAUUUGUCUUGUAGCUUACUCGCUUAUGUUAUUUUACCUACGCUUAGGAUGUUGAAGUCAUCGUAUCGCGC
RNAcentral lists this ribosomal RNA (776 nucleotides) under uncultured Neocallimastigales. RNAcentral's name for it is "partial large subunit ribosomal RNA". It matches the Rfam family "Eukaryotic large subunit ribosomal RNA", at positions 24 to 645 of the family's 3401-position model. The record is from RNAcentral. Lineage: Eukaryota; Fungi; Neocallimastigomycota; Neocallimastigomycetes; Neocallimastigales.